GAGGAGAAUAGCUCAGCUGUUCAGAGCACCCCGACGCACUCGUUUUCGAAGAAAACAUGCGUGUCGGGAGGGUCCGCGGUUCGAACCCGUGUACUCCCA
This 99-nucleotide transfer RNA is filed under the name Candidatus Opimibacter skivensis. Its description in RNAcentral is "tRNA-OTHER". It matches the Rfam family "tRNA". Rfam says of the family: Transfer RNA (tRNA) molecules are approximately 80 nucleotides in length. Their secondary structure includes four short double-helical elements and three loops (D, anti-codon, and T loops). Lineage: Bacteria; Pseudomonadati; Bacteroidota; Saprospiria; Saprospirales; Saprospiraceae. The record is from RNAcentral.